RNAcentral lists this long non-coding RNA (1023 nucleotides) under Marmota monax (woodchuck). The record is from RNAcentral. Lineage: Eukaryota; Metazoa; Chordata; Mammalia; Rodentia; Sciuridae.
UGGGUGGGCACAGCUCCCUGGAAUGUAACUGAUGUGCCCAAAAACCAUAUUGGCCCCUGCAGUACCUACUACACAGGACGAGCCAUUACCAACCGUUAUGCAGGAAAUCAGUAUGGCAUGAUAGAUAUUAUGCCAGAAUAUUGUUGGCUGUUAAAGCCAUCAAAUGGGCAUCACCCUGCUGGAUGAAUAGGAUGAUAUUGAGUCCAGACCCUUACCAUUUGCCUUUAUGCCAAAUUAUACCCAUACCCUCUAUGCACAGGUGUGUGUUAUGCCACCCUUUGCCAUGCUAAUAAUCAAUGAUACUGAGGGUAUAAAUAUCACUCAAACAGAGAUCCCUUGUGCUGACAAUAUAUCCUGCUGGCUCACAAAUUGUCUAAUCCCUGCUAUGACAGCUAAACGUGUAUUUAUCCUCAGAGUGCCCCCAGCAGUCUGGCUUCCAGUGACCCUGUCCAGAGAGUGGAGGAGUCCAUGGGACAUGGAGAUGAAGAAUCUUCUACACCAGACAAGGCGUGCAAUUAGCCUUAUCAUCACUGGGAUUAUUGCCCUGGUGGCUGCCAUCGCUGCCACAGCCACUGCCGCUGCUUCGCUCACCCAGAAUAUCCAGAUGGCUCAGACUGUGGACAAUGUGUCUACUGCCAUGGCAGAAGCCUUUUCCAUUCAAAAUGACUUAAAUAACCUGUCCUGAGCCACUAUUUUAGUCAUUCGGCAAGCACUAGACCUCCACAGGAAUAACUAGAUAUUCUGUUUAUGUUGUAAAGGCUCACUUAUGACCCUGAAUUUCAUAGUAUUUGUGUCAUCCAAUAUGCUGUAUCUGAAAAUGUAACCUUACACUUCUCCAAUUUUUCUCAGUAUGUUAAAGGUGCUUGGGAUAUUGACUAUAUUAUGACCUUACUAAGGUAAUUGUUAAAAUCAAUGAGACUAAGGUGUCUAUCUUAACAACCUCUUCUUUCUUCCAGGGAUUGAAUAAACACUGGAAAAAUCUGAUAGCCAAAUUAACUUCUCCUUAUAAUGCUAUUAUCCUGG